RNAcentral lists this long non-coding RNA (1371 nucleotides) under Rattus norvegicus (Norway rat). RNAcentral describes it as "long non-coding RNA NONRATT004341". The record is from RNAcentral. Lineage: Eukaryota; Metazoa; Chordata; Mammalia; Rodentia; Muridae.
CAGGGUCCUCAAACAUGGCCAGGUAGGUAAGCUCACCCAGGCUCUGCCUUUGAACUGGCCAGGGGUGUAGAUCUGGAGCCCUGGUUCCUUUCCUGUGUGGAGAUACUUCGACUUCACUCAAGUGGCCCAGCAACUUAAUUUACCUCCCUCACUCUAGACUAGCAGAAAUUAACAUCCUAGGCCAUGUGUGAUAGAUAUUAGCUACUAUGUAUUCCCAUGACCAGCGUAAUUAGAAUGAUAAUAGUAUCCCAAGUCAGAUUAACAAGCCAGGAGCAGCCCAUGAUAAACAGCUCAGCAGGUUCAGGAACUUGCUGUGCAAAUGUGUUGCCAGGUUUGAACGGUAGAAUCCAUGUCAAAGAGUAGACCUCGUGCUGCUUGAGUACUUUAUAGGCUGCCACAAUGUGAUGUUUGUGUGAGUCUCACAGAUACCACUCUUGUUGCUGAUCCUUGAAGUCAAACAUUAGUGUUUUAUGAGCUCUUCUAUCAUCUCCUUAUUUUGUUGUCCCAGCCGCCAUGGGCACAGCCUUAGUUUACUGACACGUAUUUCCAUUGUGACACUACUGUUCAAAAGUAACAUCUUCUGAAAGAUGAUUUGAAUUAACAUUAAAUGUACUCCACCUAGUUAUCCCAACAUGUGGAAAGCAUUAGCAAAAGGAAAACAUCCUAAUCUGAGCCCAAGGAGGCCUCAAAUCUGUGUUGAGGGAAUCCUCUUCCCAGUGGGAGGAUGAUGCACACGUCACAGCACCUGACUAAGCCUGCGAUUAAAUAACAAAUAGUUGGAGAACUCAAUAUAGAUACAGAUUAUGUUAGGGUAAGAUAAAGAAUCAACAGCAACAUUAGAAAGUACACUUUAGUUUACUGAAAAUGAAGGGACAAUAUACAAACUAUAAGACAGCUAAAAUCUUACCUAGAGGGAAAAUGAUGGGCUUGCGGGACUUCAGAAAGAACAAGCGUCUUGGACCAGUAAACCCAAUAGAACAUACACAGGAAGAUGGAAAUAAGCAGCACAAGUCUCUGAAACAGAAAACUAGAGACUAGCAAUGAAACCAAAAGUUGGUUUAUAAAAGAUCAAUAACCUGGGCUGGAGAGAUGGCUCAGCAGUUAAGAGCACUGACUGCUUUUCCAGAGGUUUUGAAUUCAAUUCCCAGCACCCACAUGGUGGCUCAAACCAUCUGUAACGGGAUCCAAUGCCCUCUUCUGGUGUGUCUGAAGACAGCUAUAGUGUAUUCAACAUGUUUUUCAAAAAAUCAGUAGCCUGUGCGCGCGCGCGCACACACACACACCUGUAAUCCCAGCACUUGGGAGGGUGCAGAGUACCAGAGCAACCCCACGCUCUGUAAAUCCUAUUAAAAGUAUGCAUUUGUUUUAGUG